CACGAUUUCCGAUUUGGAUUCUCCAUCUAGUGGCGGACGGGUGAGUAACACGUGGGUGACCUACCUUUGAGUUUGGGACAACUACUGGAAACGGUAGCUAAUACCAAAUAAUAUACAGUUUCGUUUCUGUAUUAAAAGGCGCUUUACAGCGUCGCUCUUAGAUGGGCCUGCGGCGUAUUAGCUAGUUGGUGAGGUAAUGGCUCACCAAGGCGACGAUGCGUAGCCGGACUGAGAGGUUGAUCGGCCACAUUGGGACUGAGAUACGGCCCAGACUCC
Molecule: ribosomal RNA, 276 nt
Filed under: uncultured bacterium
Lineage: Bacteria
Description: partial 16S ribosomal RNA
Rfam family: Bacterial small subunit ribosomal RNA
Source: RNAcentral